This 414-nucleotide non-coding RNA is filed under the name uncultured fungus. RNAcentral also lists the same sequence under 1 other name. The record is from RNAcentral. Lineage: Eukaryota; Fungi.
AGAGUUAAAAAGUACGUGAAAUUGUUAAAAGGGAAACGAUUGAAACCAGUGUUUCUGCUAGGAAAUCAGCUGGCAGGGUGUCGAGGCUAAUGGUGUAAGUGGGUUAAACCCUUUGCCGUGGGCUAAGAUAUAUUGUCAGUGCACUUUACUAGUGGAGAGUCAACAUCAGUUUUGAGCGACGGAAAAGACUUUGGAGAAGGUGGCUUGUCUUUCGGGGCGAGUGUUAUAGCUUCAGAGGGAUACGUUGCUUGGGACUGAGGACUGCAGAACGACCCGCAAGGGAUAGCGCUUCUUUUGUUAGUUGGGUCAUGGCCAUGCAGACAGCUUGCUGACUGUGAGGGUAGCGACUUGACAGGUACUUGAGAACAGCGACUUUACGUUCUAAGGAUGUUGACAAAAUGGUUUUAAAUGACC